Molecule: non-coding RNA, 64 nt
Filed under: Bacteroidota bacterium
Lineage: Bacteria; Pseudomonadati; Bacteroidota
Description: Bacteroidetes bacterium Fluoride sequence
Rfam family: Fluoride riboswitch aptamer (crcB RNA motif)
Source: RNAcentral
UUCGCCAUUGGCGAUGGAGUUCGCCAUAAAAUGUCAUAAACGGACUGAUGACCCCUUUAAUAAU